AUUGAACGCUGGCGGCAGGCCUAACACAUGCAAGUCGAACGAGUGGCGGACGGGUGAGUAAUGUCUGGGAACCUGCCUGAUGGAGGGGGAUAACUACUGGAAACGGUAGCUAAUACCGCAUACCAUCGGAUGUGCCCAGAUGGGAUUAGCUAGUGGGUGGGGAAAAGGCUCCCCUAGGCGACGAUCCCUAGCUGGUCUGAGAGGAAGACCAGCCACACUGGAACUGAGACACGGUCCAGACGCCGACGGCAGGCAGCAGUGGGGAAUAUUGGACAAUGGGCGCAAGCCUGAUGCAGCCAUGCCGCGUGUAUGAAGAAGGCCUUCGGGUUGUAAAGUACUUUCAGCGGGGAGGCGUUACCCGCAGAAGAAGCACCGGCUAACUCCGUGCCAGCCGCCGCGGUAAUAC
RNAcentral lists this ribosomal RNA (406 nucleotides) under uncultured bacterium. Its description in RNAcentral is "partial 16S ribosomal RNA". It matches the Rfam family "Bacterial small subunit ribosomal RNA", at positions 29 to 526 of the family's 1533-position model. The record is from RNAcentral.